AUGUUUUCUCAAUUUUUUUCUCCCCCUUUUUUUCCAGCAUCAACUUGAGAGGGGAGGAGAGCCUCUCCUCUCAUGGUUUUCUUCUUCCUUUCUCUUCCAAGCAACACCCCCCAAAAAAACCUAAGUUUUGUUCCAUUAAGUCUUACCAGAAAACAACUUUUUAAUUAAUUUCCACCAUCUUCUUCCUCAUUUAAGGCUAGAGUUUCAAGUGGGUUAGUGAGAGAAAGUUAUGAAUAGAGACAGAAAGCUCCAACCAUGGUAAGAAAAUGAGUUUCUACUAUCUCCAUAUUUGAUAUUAGAGAUUUUUUAUUAAGAACAAUUAUUGGAGCUCAUAGUAAUGACUUUUAUAUGUAUGUUUUUGUGUUGAGAAAAGGAGAUCAAUGGAAGAAAAGGUUUCAAGCUAUUUUUGGUAUGGAUUCAAGUGUUGAGAAUGUGAGAAGAAGUUCUAUUUGGAAUUUUUGUUGUUAAAGAGAUAAGUACCAUGGAUUCUCCUAACUUCAUCUUAAUAAAAUGGUUGUGAAAAAUGCUAAAAUGAUUAAACAAAAAAUAUAAAUUGACUACAUUUAUUUCAAAUAGGAUUAAGAGUAUGUAUAUAAGAAAAUAAUAGAUUAAUGAGUUGUGAUAAUUGGAAGAAACAUAAUGGAAUUUAUGAACUUGACUUAAUGUAUAAUGGAUUAGAGAAAUGUCAAGCAAAUUAUAGUUAUGACAUAAUGUGAUUUAUUGAUACAAUGAGCUAAGAGUGGAUUUUCAUAUAAUGAAAUAUAUUAAAAAGUGGGAAUAAGGAAAACCAUGAAAAAUGCAAUGUGCUUAUAUGUGCAGACAAAAAUGAUAUACGAUGUAUAAUAUGGUAUACUUGUUUUUAUGUGAAUGUGAG
This 874-nucleotide long non-coding RNA is filed under the name Gossypium barbadense (sea-island cotton). Its description in RNAcentral is "long non-coding RNA (GBAR_LNC015035)". Lineage: Eukaryota; Viridiplantae; Streptophyta; Magnoliopsida; Malvales; Malvaceae. The record is from RNAcentral.